RNAcentral lists this ribosomal RNA (430 nucleotides) under uncultured bacterium. RNAcentral describes it as "partial 16S ribosomal RNA". It matches the Rfam family "Bacterial small subunit ribosomal RNA", at positions 354 to 796 of the family's 1533-position model. The record is from RNAcentral.
GUGGGGAAUAUUGCACAAUGGGCGCAAGCCUGAUGCAGCAACGCCACGUGAGGGACGACGGCCUUCGGGUUGUAAACCUCUUUUAGCAGGGAAGAAGCGAAAGUGACGGUACCUGCAGAAAAAGCACCGGCUAACUACGUGCCAGCAGCCGCGGUAAUACGUAGGGUGCAAGCGUUGUCCGGAAUUAUUGGGCGUAAAGAGCUCGUAGGCGGUCUGUCGCGUCUGCUGUGAAAACUGGAGGCUCAACCUCCAGCCUGCAGUGGGUACGGGCAGACUAGAGUGCGGUAGGGGAGAUUGGAAUUCCUGGUGUAGCGGUGGAAUGCGCAGAUAUCAGGAGGAACACCGAUGGCGAAGGCAGAUCUCUGGGCCGUAACUGACGCUGAGGAGCGAAAGCGUGGGGAGCGAACAGGAUUAGAUACCCUUGUAGUCC